CAAUUGUAGAUCUUUGCGAUGCUAUGUUUGAUUUGGUUUGAUUUGCCUGGUCCCACUGGGCACGGCAGUCAUUCAGGUUCUGGUUUGGAGGCCGUUCUCAAUCAGGGACGGGACGGACCCCACGGGGUCCCUGAGGUUAUCUCAACACUUUCAUAAAAGGAACUACGUCGUGAAAAAAUAAUUUCAAGACUUGAAUAUUUUCAAUUUGAGUACAGAUUGCCUCUGCGAGGAACCCCUGCUCUGUCUUCUCCAUGGGGGGCCACGUUCACAACUCCCUGUUGACACAAGAUUCCGGAUCCUAGAAGCAGUCGCGUACAGGCACAACGGAAGCACACAGGUGGCUGGUUUUAAAGUAAAGAAACUGAGGCCCAGGGUGGGGGUUUCCAUGGGAAGAGCAAGUUUGCUGAAGACACUGCAUACGACUCUUGUUUGACUCGAGUUGUACCACCAUCGGUUAGAUGGAAUUAAAAGAUUUCUGACCCCUCAACCUUGAGAUCAUGAAGAAACUGAUUUGUUUGCUGGAGUCGGGGAUCUAGUUGAGUGUUAGGCUGCAGGACUUUCCUUAGUGGAAUUUGUCUUGUGGGACGUGAAGUUUAAAGUGGACGCUGGCCCUGAGCUCGGGGACGACUUCAGCAGCUUGUGCAAAGAGAACAGACACGUUUCCUCUGAGCCUUGUGGUUCCAUCGUAACAACCACGCCCGCUGUUUGAAAGCAGCCUGGGGAGGGGUCACUGCAGUCCAGAGGAACUUGGGCAACUCGGAAGCUCUCCAGCUUAGCACGAUGUCAAAACGAGGGCCACAAAGCCACACGUCCUCGGGGCAGCCUUUCCUGACCCAGUUAGGUCAGCUCGCUCUGCUCUAAGUUCUCCUAACUGUAUACAGUUCCUAGCACUUAGCAGUUGUAAUUGUGUGUUCAUUUUGUGAUUGCUUGGACGGGUCUGCCUCCCUACUAGACAGCGGGUGUGAAGGUGACACAUUGUGUUGAUUACGCUUUCCAUUCUAUUUAG
This is a long non-coding RNA of Rhinolophus ferrumequinum (greater horseshoe bat), 1006 nucleotides long. RefSeq lists it as uncharacterized. The transcript has 3 exons. The record is from RefSeq and is a predicted model, not a curated record. NCBI's taxonomy places the organism in Eukaryota, Metazoa, Chordata, Mammalia, Chiroptera, Rhinolophidae.